Molecule: ribosomal RNA, 257 nt
Filed under: uncultured prokaryote
Description: partial 16S ribosomal RNA
Rfam family: Bacterial small subunit ribosomal RNA
Source: RNAcentral
UACGUAGGAGACGAGCGUUGUCCGGAAUUACUAGGCGUAAAGGGCGCGCAGGCUGUAGAUCAAGUCAGCUGUGAAAUGUCUGGGCUUAACCCGGGCAUGCGGUUGAAACUGAUGUACUGGAGUGCUGUAGAGGCAAGUGGAAUUCCCAGUGUAGCGGUGAAAUGCGUAGAUAUUGGGAAGAACACCGGUGGCGAAGGCGACUUGCUGGGCAGCAACUGACGCUGAGGCGCGAAAGCCAGGGGAGCAAACGGGGAUUA